This 497-nucleotide ribosomal RNA is filed under the name uncultured bacterium. Its description in RNAcentral is "partial 16S ribosomal RNA". It matches the Rfam family "Bacterial small subunit ribosomal RNA", at positions 28 to 507 of the family's 1533-position model. The record is from RNAcentral.
GAUGAACGCUGGCGGCGUGCCUAAUACAUGCAAGUCGAGCGAACAGACGAGGAGCUUGCUCCUCUGACGUUAGCGGCGGACGGGUGAGUAACACGUGGAUAACCUACCUAUAAGACUGGGAUAACUUCGGGAAACCGGAGCUAAUACCGGAUAAUAUAUUGAACCGCAUGGUUCAAUAGUGAAAGACGGUUUUGCUGUCACUUAUAGAUGGAUCCGCGCCGCAUUAGCUAGUUGGUAAGGUAACGGCUUACCAAGGCAACGAUGCGUAGCCGACCUGAGAGGAUGAUCAGCCACACUGGAACUGAGACACGGUCCAGACUCCUACGGGAGGCAGCAGUAGGGAAUCUUCCACAAUGGGCGAAAGCCUGACGGAGCAACGCCGCGUGAGUGAUGAAGGUCUUCGGAUCGUAAAGCUCUGUUAUUAGGGAAGAACAAAUGUGUAAGUAACUAUGCACGCCUUGACGGUACCUAAUCAGAAAGCCACGGCUAACUACGUG